AAGAAAAUUUGCAAAUAUGGUUCAAGCCAAUGCGGGGAAUCCAGAAACGGUAAAAUGCCCUAGCAAAUGUUGCCAAAACUUAUUUCACCAAUAUUUUGAUAUAAUGUUUGAGCAUUUGAUCAUUAAUGGCACGGAUCUACUGUUUUUGCACUUAUGUAAUUCACAAACAUGACUAAAUUACGAGCAAAGUGUUUGAAUUAUGGCUUAAUUUCGUUUGAUUUGUAUAUCGUAGGCUAUAUUGAUGGACAUGUUGGAAUCCAUGAGAAAUGAUUCAAAAAAGGGCUAAAAUGAAGUAAAGUGAACGUUUAGGGACCAAAGCACAAAUACCUAAAAGAUGAACUGAAGGGGGAGUCGAGCAAUAGAUUGAGCUAAGUACCAAUUGGAGGGCAUAAUAGAGCAACGAAAUGACAAGAAACAAGAAAUUAAGACAAAAAUGGAGAAGAUAAAGAUUGAGGACCAAAACGGAAUGACAAGUAUCAAUUCUUGCCAAUUUUUCCCAUGCGGUUGCAUGACCCAUGGCAGGGAAAAAAUUGGCAAGAAUUGAUACUACUAUGCGGUAGCAUAGCUUAGUGCUGUGCAGUCGCAUAGUUAUUUUCUGGGGACCGUUUCUGCAGUUUCCUAUUUUCGAUCAACUCUUUUGGAACUCGAUUGGGAUGAGAUAUAAAAACCUAGAGUCAUCAUAUUUCGAGGAGGAACGCAUUGGGAAGCAAGAAAACACAUCUUGGAGAAGAUUUUGAGCGAGACUAAAUAGGAUUUAAUGAAGAUCAUCGAGAUUUCACGCUAAUUCAUAACUCGUGAUAUUGUAUCUUCAAGCCAAUAUGUAUUCUUUUAUUUUCUCCAUGUUGGUUAAAUAUUUCUGUACUAGGAGAUGAUGAACCUUGUGAUGUGAUAUUUAACUCUUUGUUUAAUGA
This 911-nucleotide long non-coding RNA is filed under the name Olea europaea subsp. europaea. The record is from RNAcentral. Lineage: Eukaryota; Viridiplantae; Streptophyta; Magnoliopsida; Lamiales; Oleaceae.